GACAGAGGGGGCAAGCGUUGCUCGGAAUCACUGGGCGUAAAGGGCGCGUAGGCGGGAUGGCAAGUCGGUCGUGAAAUCCUUCGGCUCAACCGAAGAACGUCGGCCGAUACUGCCGUUCUUGAGGGAUGCAGAGGAGAUUGGAAUUCCCGGUGUAGCGGUGAAAUGCGCAGAUAUCGGGAGGAACACCCGUAGCGAAGGCGGUACUCUGGGCCGAAACUGACGCUGAGGAGCGAAAGCGUGGGGAGCGAACAGG
RNAcentral lists this ribosomal RNA (253 nucleotides) under uncultured bacterium. Its description in RNAcentral is "partial 16S ribosomal RNA". It matches the Rfam family "Bacterial small subunit ribosomal RNA", at positions 524 to 776 of the family's 1533-position model. The record is from RNAcentral.